GAUUUCACGCCUAAAACGUAUAAAAUCGGACAAAUCAGAAGACAAAAUUGAAACACGUACUGCCUGCCUCUUGUGACCUCACAGAGAAGGGAGCUGAAAUCUACAUUGUUACCAGUACAAGAUGAACGUCAAGGUGUUGACUCUUUGUGUGGUGGUGAGUCUGUUUGUCGCCAAUGCUGUUGUCAGCGCUGUCACCCAGAAGAAAGCGGUAGGAAAAGGGGGCGAGGAGAUCCUAAGGGAAGAGGAGAUACGGAAGACUGUACGAGAGGCUUUAAAUGAGCUGAAACGCGACCGUCGCUUGAGCGUGGAGAGACGCUGGGGGUGGAAACACGUCGCUGCUGGUGCUGCUGGUGCUGCCAUACUUGGCAAACGAGACGAUGAGUAAUCCAGGACAUAUUUCGUACCAUGGGUUUCUGCAGAGGUAGUUUGACUUUGUCAUGUGACUUUGUCAUGUGACUUUGUCAUGUGACUUUGUCAUGUGACUUUCCUAAGGCCUGUAGUCAGAUGAAAUAGCCAAAUAAAGCUUCGUAUGGACAAGAACAA
Aplysia californica (California sea hare) is the source of this 543-nucleotide long non-coding RNA. RefSeq lists it as uncharacterized. The record is from RefSeq and is a predicted model, not a curated record. Lineage: Eukaryota; Metazoa; Mollusca; Gastropoda; Aplysiida; Aplysiidae. The transcript is spliced from 4 exons.